CAAAAGUGAUCCAUCCGAUGUACUAGAGUUAUAGAUUAAGAUGCAAUUACCCCAGAAGUCCAUAGGUUGUGAUCCCAGGAAUUGCACAGGGUACAUUGGCCUUCAAAACCAACACAAUUCAGAGAUUACAUUGAGAAGCUCAGAGAAAUUUUAAACCAAAUGCAGCCCAGAUGUGCUAACCUUUGUUUUGAAAGGAGAAGAACAACAGAAAACUUAUUAUUUUAUACUGGAGAUACACCAUGGAAUGUUAACCUGGGCACAAUCUUGGAAAGGAACAAAAGUCUUUUUCACUAUUGUUGAACAAGAUUGAUCAGCGUAUAAAUGAAGCCCUCUGUAGCCACACAGGCAGAUGACAGGCAACAUGAGUUCGACUGGGACAACACUACUAUUAUAGGACAAGCCAAACAGAGAACAGCCAGG
Molecule: long non-coding RNA, 420 nt
Organism: Chiloscyllium plagiosum (whitespotted bambooshark)
Lineage: Eukaryota; Metazoa; Chordata; Chondrichthyes; Orectolobiformes; Hemiscylliidae
Source: RefSeq, a predicted model, not a curated record